CAUCUGUAAGCAUGCGGUCUUAGCAACAUGACAUCAAAAAAUUACUGCUAUUUUUAGACUAUAAGCCCCUCCUCCAAAUCGACAGAAGAAAUGAAAUUCAGCUAUGAAAAUCGUGUGCAGCUAGCUACACUGGACAUGCAUGAUGAUGGUCGCGUCGACGUCUGGGCCGAGAUCACACCAUACAGGUACAUGCAUACUGUCAAUGAUGAUGGCGGUUCACAAUUCUAUCCCGCCCAACCUCACAAGGCCCCCUCGUAUCUAUCCCUGUGACUAGCAAGCAAUCUCAAAGCCCACAAGAACUGGCAGUGCUGAGGUAACAUUGUCAAGAUAACAAGCGUGUAAUGUUCUAGGCAUGAUUUGGUAAGAGAUAUAAAACACAUUAAUAACAGGGGUGUUUCUAGAAGGGUGCUAACAUUUUAUUACGUCCCUGCAUUAUAGGGGUAGGGGGGCAGGCUGAGACAAGAGACAGGAGAAAUAGUACUGUACCUAUUCACUCAAAUCAUUUCAUUAUUAAUAUCAACCAACACCAAUCAAUCGUUUUUACACUACAGGCAAAGGUGCAUGCCAGGUAAAUAAAUGAUCGCUUCAUUUGCAAGUAAAAUAUUCAUGCUCAGAGAUUCAAUCACAAAAAGUGUCCUUUUUGGUGUUGGUGCCAACCUAGCCUCGUUAUACCAAGCCGAUUUUAACGAACGGAAGGAGGUAGGUAUUUUCGACCUAGCGAAAAAAGUUGUAAUAGAAAAAAGUCGGGUCGGGAAUGAGGCUAGUCAAUCGUACCCAUACUUUCUCACUUUUUUACGAGUGUUUGGUACUUGCAGUAUAUAGAAUACCGUGACGUAUGUAGUGAGUAUAUACAUGCAUGCAUGUAGAGUACGUAGCUGUUAAAAAUAUGCUACUGACUCAUGCUCAUUGUUUCCAGAUCCCCAUUAUAGAGACAUACCUUAGUAGAGGCUAAAGAUGCGUAUCUUUGUGACCAUAGACCUCAACCAAGUGGACAAAAGCAUGGACACCAUCCAACUUCAACCCAUGGACAGACUCGGUGAUCACAACCCUGAUGGAAGACCUCGGUCGAUAUUGUUUACUUCCAGGCUGAGCUGAACAGCAGUUAUCUAGCUAGAUCAUGAUACACUUUUAGAGAGGAAAUUAAACUUCAGUACUAGUAGUGUUAGAGGCCAGCCAGUGUCUGCUCGUACGUACAUGUAGUCAUAAUAAAUUAUAUUAUCACUGUAGUGUGUUCGUCAGCAUAAUUAUUAUUACCAUUCUGAGUAUUAUCAACUUUUGUUCAAUUUUUUGAAAUGAAAUAAGCUACAGA
Halichondria panicea is the source of this 1309-nucleotide long non-coding RNA. RefSeq lists it as uncharacterized. The transcript has 2 exons. NCBI's taxonomy places the organism in Eukaryota, Metazoa, Porifera, Demospongiae, Suberitida, Halichondriidae. The record is from RefSeq and is a predicted model, not a curated record.